This 500-nucleotide unclassified non-coding RNA is filed under the name Hevea brasiliensis (rubber tree). Lineage: Eukaryota; Viridiplantae; Streptophyta; Magnoliopsida; Malpighiales; Euphorbiaceae. The record is from RNAcentral.
AAUAAAAAAAAAUAAAUAAAACAAAAAGUUUCAUAGCAAUGAAGAGAGUAUUCUUCAAUUUCUUUCCACUGUUUAGUCCAUUUGCAACAAUUCUAUAUAAUUAGGUCUAAAUAGGGGUUUAGGAUGACAGAGAGAGAGGGCACUGGUAUUCCCAAUCCUACCAUGGAAAUAACUGAGUUUUUAAUCCCUCACUCCAGUUAGUGGAGGAUUUAUUGAGCUAGAAAAAAGAAAAAAAAUUGAUUCUAGAAGCUAAAUAAGGGCAUACUAUGAGUAAUCACAAAAACAGUGUUCUGAUAUAAAAGUUAAAACGCACGAGGACGGAUGUCUGGAGAUGUUGCCAACAAUCUAUCAUGCGAAGUUCUAGACUUGAGCAAUAGCAGAAAUGAAAAAUAUGGUUGAAACUUAUAUUUUCAGAACCCAACAAGAGAUAAGUAGAUCACCAUAAAUAAUCCUCUGUAUAGUUAAUGCUAAGCAGAUAAUAAAAAGGGUAGGCAAAUGAA